ACCUAUAAACCUGGCCCAUCAAA
RNAcentral lists this small nuclear RNA (23 nucleotides) under Arabidopsis thaliana (thale cress). RNAcentral's name for it is "snRNA_17382". The record is from RNAcentral. Lineage: Eukaryota; Viridiplantae; Streptophyta; Magnoliopsida; Brassicales; Brassicaceae.